This is a small nuclear RNA of Marmota marmota marmota (Alpine marmot), 104 nucleotides long. NCBI's taxonomy places the organism in Eukaryota, Metazoa, Chordata, Mammalia, Rodentia, Sciuridae. The record is from Ensembl.
GUGCUCACUUUGGAAGCACAUAUACUAAAAUUGAAACAACACAAAGAUUAAUGUGGCUCCUAUACAAGGGUGACAUGCAAAUUCUUGAAGCAGUCCAUACUUCU